CGCGGCCUAUCAGCUUGUUGGUGAGGUAACGGCUCACCAAGGCGACGACGGGUAGCCGGCCUGAGAGGGCGACCGGCCACACUGGGACUGAGACACGGCCCAGACUCCUACGGGAGGCAGCAGUGGGGAAUAUUGCACAAUGGGCGAAAGCCUGAUGCGGCGACGCCGCGUGAGGGAUGACGGCCUUCGGGUUGUAAACCUCUUUCAGCAGGGAAGAAGCGAAAGUGACGGUACCUGCAGAAGAAGCGCCGGCUAACUACGUGCCAGCAGCCGCGGUAAUACGUAGGGCGCAAGCGUCGUCCGGAAUUAUUGGGCGUAAAGAGCUCGUAGGCGGCUUGUCACGUCGGGUGUGAAAGCCCGGGGCUUAACCCCGGGUCUGCAUCCGAUACGGGCAGGCUAGAGUGUGGUAGGGGAGAUCGGAAUUCCUGGUGUAGCGGUGUAAUGCGCAGAUAUCAGGAGGAACACCAGUGGCGAAGGCGGAUCUCUGGGCCAUUACUGACGCUGAGGAGCGAAAGCGUGGGGAGCGAACAGGAUUAGAUACCCUGGUAGUCCACGCCGUAAACGUUGGGAACUAGGUGUUGGCGACAUUCCACGUCGUCGGUGCCGCAGCUAACGCAUUAAGUUCCCCGCCUGGGGAGUACGG
This 643-nucleotide ribosomal RNA is filed under the name uncultured Actinomycetes bacterium. RNAcentral's name for it is "bacterial SSU rRNA". It matches the Rfam family "Bacterial small subunit ribosomal RNA", at positions 232 to 885 of the family's 1533-position model. Lineage: Bacteria; Bacillati; Actinomycetota; Actinomycetes. The record is from RNAcentral.